CCACUGUGUGACUCCAGUAUUUCUGAGUGACUUUUUCCUCCCUGUGUCUUUUGUUGGAUUUUGGAUUCUUGGUUCUUUGGAUUUUUUUAUUUGUGUUUCUUGGGAUUUUUUGAAUUUGACUAUUUUGAAAGUAAGUUUUUGUUGCUUCUCUCAAUUUGUUGCAAUUUGGGUCCUUUCUGUUUUAUUUUACUCCUGAACCUGACAUUACCAGUACAAUGAACAGCACCUAAUGCCACUUUGUCCACAGGGAGCAUCAAAAUAAAUAUAAAAUGACUGUCCUAACAGCUACUUUAAGUUUAGAUUUUAUUUAUUUAUUUUUUGUUUUAAAGUAAUCCCAAUCUAAAUGAAAAGUAUUGAACAAUACAAACUGGAGGUUUAAAUCGGGUUCUAGCAGAUCACAGCUUUAAAAAAUGUAGGUUUUUCAAGACUUACUUUGCAGUUAAAGUAGAUGGACUAAUGUAAAAAUGUAUUUUAUCCACAGAUCUGCACUUAUCUGACGAUAAACUGAAAGUAUUGUAUCUAAUCCCUGGGUCUUUUCCUCUUCAUAGCACUCCCAGCUCUUUCUUCAAUCAGCAUCCAUCACAAGGGCUCUGGCUUGAAAUAUAAUAAAGACUUCAGUAAAUUGUGUGCAGGUGCUUCAGUGUUUGACUUUGGCUGAGUAAAACUCUGCCAGAGACAGAUGAAGUUUCAUUAGAGGCUUGUGAAAUCAUACUUCAUCUCAGUUGUUUAAUGCCCUCACUUUGCCUGCAGCAAUGUUUUCCAAACUUUCCCCGACUCUGCAACUCCUUGUCCUUGCCUCUGAAUUACUCGUCUGUAUCUCCAUCUUCCGCCUCGUCUCUCAAUGGUCUCUGGAGCGAGUGCCAAUCUAAUCACAGCUCGCCCCCCAGUGGAAUACAGAAACACCAGUUUGUCAUGAUGCUCCCCCCCCUAACACUCCGGGGUCAGUUUGCCAGCAUGCUGUUAUUGCACGGGGCAUUGGGACCGUGGUGUGUCUACUAUGGGUGAUAUCCUACCUGUCCCAGCCUGCCAUGUAUUAGAGAAGAAUCUAAUCACCCCGCCACAGCUUCCUCCUCCUCCUCCUCCUCCUCCUGUUUGGAAAUAGAACUGAGGCCGAGGAACAAGGCCACAUCAAUCAUAAAAGGAUCCUCCUGAGAGUGCGAUCACUCUCACAGCUCUGUCAGAACAACAUCCAACCCACUGACGGACACAUCCUGGAACACAAACAUUUACUCACAGUCCUGUCUGAUUUCGGUUACUUUUUUCCCUUGCUAAUUUGCCCUUCCUUGUCUUUCAACAUGCAUCAAACACACUUUUUCUUCUUUUCCUUUUAUCCUGCAAUCACCUUCCUCCCCUUCAUGUCUUUUCCUUCCCUCAGACUCCCUUCCCUCUGCUUCCUUUAUACUGCCUUCCAGUUUCACUCCACGCACACCUUCUGUCUCCGAUUGAUAACAUCCCUGAUGGAGCUCCUUUAUUAGCCACCCACAGGCAGAUUAACCAGAGCAAUAAUACACCAAUCAGCUGCAAUUACUCCCUGAUAAGCCCAGAGAGAGCUCUGCAGGGUGCGGGGAGAGGAUGUAGCAGUUGUAGAGUGAUUGGGAGUCUUUAGUGUAGAUUUAAAGGUUCUGUGUCUGUGCAUACAUUUACACGUGUCAUAUGACUAUGUUUAAUUCUCUGUGUGUGUUUUUUUUAGCUUGCACAUUUAAUCCCAUCAUAAGGCAAAUAUAAUUAUAAUCAGAUGUGGAUCAGUCCCAGUCUUCUGGUCCUCAUCAGGUGUUAAUUGAGCUCAUGAUCAGACAGGCUGUAUUCUCAUCUGCACAGCCUCAGAGUUAUUACUGAAAAUAUGUGCAUGUGUGCAACAAGGCGGCUGAAUAGAGAGGGCUUUGAAUCAAUAUGCUGCAACAUUGCUGUGUGACUGUGCCAUUAUGGUCAAAGACAUCCCUUGUCCCAUCAUUAUAGUAAAUUAAAAUACUUAAAUUUUGGCUCUUGUUAGUUUUUGCACUUCUGUGCCUGAGCAGCAGUCUGGCAUUGUUAUAGUGCGGCUAAAUGGGGAUGAAAAUGAGAGGAAGGGUAGAUAUGAGUUUCCAGCCUGCAGGCAUCCACAGUACCAGCCAAGUCUGAUUUCAAGAACAGCUGCGUCGAUUUAACCUCGCUUUAUUUUUCCCUUUUGUGCACACACAAACAUGCAGUCACAUGCAUUUAGGUAUAAACUCAUGUAUGUUCACGCUUGAUGUGCAUGCAUGCACACAAAUGAGCAGACCAAAGACCCCCUGAAGCUGUUUACUGCUGUUCCCACCAAUCUUUCUAUUCCACAUUCACUUUACACCAGGAAACUCGCCAAACUGUGUGUGCGGGUGCAUCAGAUUAGUUCCCCCAACUGGCUUCAGAAACAAUGAUCCAACUCUUGUAUCAAAGCAGAUCUCCAAUUAGACUUUGCAUAUUUCAUUUGGGCUUUUUCAGAUUAAGGCGCCACAGAUUUGAUUAAUUCUUGCAGUUUCAAUGUCAAAAGGGCCGGGGUGUAAUUCUGGAAAUUGGCACAGAGAAACUCAGAGUGUGUAUGAUCUUUCUUUCACCUUGUUUUUCUUGAACGUGUGUGUGUCUCGUGUCUCCAACCUUGAGGUGUCUCAGUUCCUAACCUUCAAAAGUUAAUCCUAGAGCAAAAAAAUAAAGCGUACAUUUACCAUUACUUCGAGCAUGAAAUUAAAUACAUUACAUUUGGCCGUCUCUGGUCUAAUUAUUUCUGAGGAUUUAUGAUGGUGUCAGUGGUAUUUGUUUAAAGAAAGUGUGUGUACACCAUGUUGUUGGCUGCGGCAGGAGGCCUCACAUUCUUUUACAUGUCACUGGGGGAGCUUCUGUCUCCCAGUCCAGUGACCUUAACACCUGUGAUUGAUACUGGGAAAGGAGGAGUGUGUAUGUGUGAAGGCAUGUACUACCCAUGGUGUGUGUGUGUGUGUGUGUGUAUGUGUGUGUGCAAGGAGGGGUAAGGUUAAUUGAAGUUGUUAGAGUGAAAAUGAUUCCCUCAGGGGGACUGACAUAGCAGGUGGAGGCAGUUGGGUGGGAUCAGCAGUGGGUAACGAAAAAAGGAGGAAAAGAGGGAAUGGGGAUGGGGUGGGUGGGGGGUCAAAGGGAUUGCUCCUGGAGCCCGGCACUCACAGGCAGUGAUACAUGAAGACAGAGGGAUAAAACGAUUCAUCUAAAGGUCAGGUAUGUCCUCUCCUCCCUCAGCGUGACUCCAUAUAUAUCCCUGGGUUUCUUUUUGAUCAUUGUGUUAUUUCUGUCUCUUUUUGUUUUUGUUUUGCAGACAAAUUACCAUUUCUUCCAAGUAUGUCCAUUUAAUUUACACAACAAUCCACCUCCCCCUCCACCCCCCUCAGUUUCCUGUCUUACACAGUGUACCUGUCUAUCUCCUGAGCUGCCUGUCCAUCCGUCUCCUCCUGUGGCCUUUCCCCUCUCCCUCCGUACCAACCUUCAUUUCACAGAUGACAGGCUGGCGGACUGUAAUCCAGCAGAUGCCGGGGCGGGGAGGCCUGACCAACUGUUUUAACUCCAAUCAGCUUUUAUUGCUCUCUGGAGGAACCCCACACAACCCCCUGCCAGCCUGGCAUUUUAGCUAGGAGGAGAGAGGACAGAGAAAAUAGCACCUUUAUGCACUAUGUGUAUCUGAGUGAGGAUAUGUGUGUGCUGAUUAAGGCAGGGAGGGGGCUGAUGGGAAAAAAGGGGUGACAGUCAUUACCCCCUGUGCCUAGUGUGGGGCCAAACUGCUGGCUUCAAUCAACUUGGACUCACAGGCGUGUGUGUGUUUAUGUGUGUGAGAGAGUCAGAGAGACAGUCCAGCAACAGCGGGGAUGAAGAUGUUGCUGGUAAUGCAUCUGCCACUGCUGUUCGUCCCCGACAGCCCAAGCCACCCCUGCAUAGUCCACGUCUGUCGCCUCCCUUCAAUUCUCCAUCCAUCUUUCUCUUUACCCUCUUCUCCAUUCUCCACCCUCGGUCUUCCUCCAUCCCUCCCUCUGAGACAGAGACA
RNAcentral lists this long non-coding RNA (4018 nucleotides) under Xyrichtys novacula (pearly razorfish). The record is from RNAcentral. Lineage: Eukaryota; Metazoa; Chordata; Actinopteri; Labriformes; Labridae.